UAAGGAAUAUUGGUCAAUGGACGCAAGUCUGAACCAGCCAUGCCGCGUGAAGGAUGAAGGUCCUCUGGAUUGUAAACUUCUUUUAUAGGGGGCGAAAAAAGGUUUUUCUAAAUCACUUGACAGUACCCUAUGAAUAAGCACCGGCUAACUCCGUGCCAGCAGCCGCGGUAAUACGGAGGGUGCAAGCGUUAUCCGGAUUCACUGGGUUUAAAGGGUGCGUAGGCGGGUAGGUAAGUCAGAGGUGAAAUCCUGGAGCUUAACUCCAGAACUGCCUUUGAUACUAUCUAUCUUGAAUAUGGUGGAGGUAAGCGGAAUAUGUCAUGUAGCGGUGAAAUGCAUAGAUAUGACAUAGAACACCUAUUGCGAAGGCAGCUUACUACGCCUAUAUUGACGCUGAGGC
This 400-nucleotide ribosomal RNA is filed under the name uncultured bacterium. RNAcentral's name for it is "bacterial SSU rRNA". It matches the Rfam family "Bacterial small subunit ribosomal RNA", at positions 355 to 752 of the family's 1533-position model. The record is from RNAcentral.